RNAcentral lists this transfer RNA (67 nucleotides) under Marmota monax (woodchuck). RNAcentral's name for it is "tRNA.Ala". The record is from RNAcentral. Lineage: Eukaryota; Metazoa; Chordata; Mammalia; Rodentia; Sciuridae.
GGUUAUGGCUCAGUGGUAGAGUGCUUGCCUAGCAUGCGUGAGGUGCUGGGUUCGAGUCUCAGCACCA